RNAcentral lists this ribosomal RNA (494 nucleotides) under uncultured bacterium. RNAcentral's name for it is "partial 16S ribosomal RNA". It matches the Rfam family "Bacterial small subunit ribosomal RNA", at positions 28 to 507 of the family's 1533-position model. The record is from RNAcentral.
GACGAACGCUGGCGGCGCGCUUAACACAUGCAAGUCGAACGGAAAGGCCUGCUUUCCCUUGUGGAUUGCGGGUACUCGAGUGGCGAACGGGUGAGUAACACGUGAGUGAUCUGCCCCCAACUUGGGUAUAAGCCUGGAAAACUGGGUCUAAUUCCCGAUAGGACUGCAGGGUGGUGCCUGUGGUGGAAAACGAUUUUCUAGUGGUUGGGGAUGAGCUCGCGGCCUAUCAGCUUGUUGGUGGGGUAAUGGCCUACCAAGGCGGCGACGGGUAGCCGGCCUGGGAGGGUGGACGGCCACAUUGGGACUGAGAUACGGCCCAGACUCCUACGGGAGGCAGCAGUGGGGAAUAUUGCACAAUGGGCGGAAGCCUGAUGCAGCGACGCCGCGUGGGGGAUGACGGCCUUCGGGUUGUAAACUCCUUUCGACCGCGAGGAAGCCACCUGGUUGGAAGGGUGGUGACGGUAGUGGUAGAAGAAGCACCGGCUAACUACGUG